UUUCUCUGCUUGCUUGUGUGACGUCACGAGGUACAGAUAAAACCAGGAGGUGUUCCGGAGACGCUCCAGUUUCUCUCCAGCAACCAGGUGUGUCGGGUGGCAGGUUUUCCGUUUUCUGUGCUGAAGGACACAAGAAAAUGAUGCGAGGAACCGUGGUGGUGGCGAUGGUGGCGGUGAUGGUGCUGAUGGUGACGGGGCAGCCCCAGGAGCGACAUAACUGCCCCGGGGUCUGCACCCUCGAGUACAACCCUG
Eriocheir sinensis (Chinese mitten crab) is the source of this 252-nucleotide long non-coding RNA. RefSeq lists it as uncharacterized. Lineage: Eukaryota; Metazoa; Arthropoda; Malacostraca; Decapoda; Varunidae. The transcript is spliced from 3 exons. The record is from RefSeq and is a predicted model, not a curated record.